UACGUAGGGUGCAAGCGUUAUCCGGAAUUAUUGGGCGUAAAGAGCUCGUAGGCGGUUUGUCGCGUCUGCUGUGAAAACUGGGGGCUCAACCCCCAGCCUGCAGUGGGUACGGGCAGACUAGAGUGCGGUAAGGGAGAUUGGAAUUCCUGGUGUAGCGGUGGAAUGCGCAGAUAUCAGGAGGAACACCGGUGGCGAAGGCAGGUCUCUGGGCCACUACUGACGCUGAGAAGCGAAAGCAUGGGGAGCGAACAGG
RNAcentral lists this ribosomal RNA (253 nucleotides) under uncultured bacterium. RNAcentral's name for it is "partial 16S ribosomal RNA". It matches the Rfam family "Bacterial small subunit ribosomal RNA", at positions 524 to 776 of the family's 1533-position model. The record is from RNAcentral.